GUGACAUAGCACUAAUCUAGAGAAUAACGAAUCCCUUUUGAUGAAUGACACCUAAAUAAAUGCAUUCCAAACAGACCUUUUAUGCAUGUCUAUCUCUUAUUGUUUCAGGGUCAUUUCAAUACUGAAGCAUUUUAUUAUAAAUGAAGCUGUCCUGUACAAUAUAGACUCUCAGAGAGAGAGAGAGACACUAAUUCUAAAUUCAUCACUGAAAUCCACCCAAGAGAAUAUCCUUCUUAACUUGGCAUUUUGGGGUCGGGAUUCAUAUCUCCAUUGCCCGACUUCAAACCCAUGCUCAAACGGCUGUAUCACAUUUCGAGGAGUUCUAAAGGAAAGUGCAGUAUUUCUGGGCUCAGUCCGUCCUGAGAGGGUGCGUAUGGUGAGCUGCCUGAGGAAUUGAGGACUGAGAAGUGGGGGUGGUAGUGGAAAACCAAGGGAAAGAUGGCAUGCGGAUGGGGGACAAAUGGAGAAGGGGGAGAGGAGAAUGCCAUGAUGGGUUUUUUUCUCUGUGUACCAUCAUCGCACGCAGAAUAAGCCCUCACUGUAAGAGUAUUGUUUUUAAUAGCAACUUUAAGCUUCCUAAUAUGUUUGUUCAUAUGGUAAAAUUUU
Molecule: long non-coding RNA, 606 nt
Filed under: Mustela putorius furo (domestic ferret)
Lineage: Eukaryota; Metazoa; Chordata; Mammalia; Carnivora; Mustelidae
Description: lncRNA (ENSMPUG00000025654.1)
Source: RNAcentral